CAAUCAGACCUGUAUAACUAUGGAGGUAGAUUUGUGUCUUUAUUAUGCAAUCAAAAAUAAUAGGUUUGAGAGCAAAACUUUCCACACUGCAAUCAAAAAAUAGAUUUGAGAGCAAAACUAUCGACACUGCAAUCAAAAAAUGUUUUAUUGCAAGAUAAAUUAAUGUGAUAAAAAAAAUAUUAAUGGGAAUCCAAAAGUUUUGUUUGCAAACCCAAAAGUUUUGUUUGCGAAUCCAAAAGUUUUGUUUGCGAAUCCAAAAGC
Gadus macrocephalus (Pacific cod) is the source of this 261-nucleotide long non-coding RNA. RefSeq lists it as uncharacterized. Lineage: Eukaryota; Metazoa; Chordata; Actinopteri; Gadiformes; Gadidae. The record is from RefSeq and is a predicted model, not a curated record. The transcript has 2 exons.